GAGUUUGAUCCUGGCCAGGACGAACGCUGGCGGUGUGCUUCACACAUGCAAGUCGAGCGAAUGAAGAAGGUAGCUUGCUACUUUUGGAUUUAGCGGCGGACGGGUGAGUAAUAUAUAGGAAUCUGCCCUAGAGCGGGGAACAACAGACCGAAAGGUUUGCUAAUGCCCCAUAGGUAUGCAGUCUUCGGAUUGUUUAUUAAAGGAGUAAUCCACUCUAGGAUGAGCCUGUAUCCGAUUAGCUAGUUGGCGGGGUAAAGGCCCACCAAGGCUACGAUCGGUAGUUGGUCUGAGAGGAUGAUCAGCCACAAUGGGACUGAGACACGGCCCAUACUCCUACGGGAGGCAGCAGUGGGGAAUUUUACACAAUGGGGGAAACCCUGAUGUAGCGACACCGCGUGAACGAAGAAGCCUUUUGGGGUGUAAAGUUCUGUCGGCUGGGGCGAAAAAAAUGACGGUACCAGCAAAGGAAGCAUCGGCGGACUACGUGCCAGCAGCGCGGUAA
RNAcentral lists this ribosomal RNA (502 nucleotides) under uncultured bacterium. Its description in RNAcentral is "bacterial SSU rRNA". It matches the Rfam family "Bacterial small subunit ribosomal RNA", at positions 9 to 523 of the family's 1533-position model. The record is from RNAcentral.